Molecule: ribosomal RNA, 433 nt
Filed under: uncultured bacterium
Lineage: Bacteria
Description: bacterial SSU rRNA
Rfam family: Bacterial small subunit ribosomal RNA
Source: RNAcentral
AGCGAACGCUGGCGGCAGGCCUAACACAUGCAAGUCAAACGAACUCUUCGGAGUUAGUGGCGGACGGGUGAGUAACACGUGGGAACGUGCCAUUAGGUUCGGAAUAACUCAGGGAAACUUGUGCUAAUACCGAAUGUGCCCUUCGGGGGAAAGAUUUAUCGCCUUUAGAGCGGCCCGCGUCUGAUUAGCUAGUUGGUGAGGUAAAGGCUCACCAAGGCUACGAUCAGUAGCUGGUCUGAGAGGAUGACCAGCCACAUUGGGACUGAGACACGGCCCAAACUCCUACGGGAGGCAGCAGUGGGGAAUCUUGCGCAAUGGGCGAAAGCCUGACGCAGCCAUGCCGCGUGGAUGAUGAAGGUCUUAGGAUUGUAAAAUCCUUUCACCGGUGAAGAUAAUGACUGUAGCCGGAGAAGAAGCCCCGGCUAACUUCGUG